UCCAGUAUUUACUCAUAGAAUUCCGCUAGUAAUUUCUCCAGAGAAGGAAUUUUUCAGGGAAACAAGUUUCGUUCCGUUUCGUUAUUAAAUAUCAGUGUUACAAAUUAAGUGUAUCGUUUCGUAUCGACAUGAAAAAAGCAUAUCGCAUACCCUUACCCUAAACCAACGGUUCGGGAGGACGUUGACCUGGUCCGCUCGUUUGGCGUUUGUUGGUUGUCAGUGUUGUUGUUGUUGUUAUUGAUAAGGAGAACCGUUGCAGAAGUGUCAUUUACUGCAAAUCGUCGGCGGUUGGAUAGAAGACGGACGAAGACCGGUUGGAAACUAAAGCCCCCACACAGGUGUCGUCGUCGGUUGGUAAUCCUUGGGG
Molecule: long non-coding RNA, 367 nt
Organism: Aedes aegypti (yellow fever mosquito)
Lineage: Eukaryota; Metazoa; Arthropoda; Insecta; Diptera; Culicidae
Exons: 2
Source: RefSeq, a predicted model, not a curated record